This is a non-coding RNA of Streptomyces sp. NRRL F-6491, 184 nucleotides long. NCBI's taxonomy places the organism in Bacteria, Bacillati, Actinomycetota, Actinomycetes, Kitasatosporales, Streptomycetaceae. The record is from Rfam.
UCGAGCGGAACGCCUAAUCCUGCCACCGCUCGGAAACCUCCCUUUUCACCCGACGGCAGGAGCGGGGGACCCACGAAUACGCCGGCCCGGAUUCCGGGACGGCUCGGGGUGCAGCCGCGUGCGCGCGGCCGGACAUCUCCCGUCCGAACCCGACAGCUCACCUCGUAGGCGCCGGAGAGGAAUC